Molecule: ribosomal RNA, 460 nt
Filed under: uncultured bacterium
Lineage: Bacteria
Description: partial 16S ribosomal RNA
Rfam family: Bacterial small subunit ribosomal RNA
Source: RNAcentral
CCUACGGGAGGCAGCAGUGAGGAAUAUUGGUCAAUGGACGAGAGUCUGAACCAGCCAAGUAGCGUGAAGGAUGACUGCCCUAUGGGUUGUAAACUUCUUUUAUAUGGGAAUAAAAUGUUCCACGUGUGGGAUUUUGUAUGUACCAUAUGAAUAAGGAUCGGCUAACUCCGUGCCAGCAGCCGCGGUAAUACGGAGGAUCCGAGCGUUAUCCGGAUUUAUUGGGUUUAAAGGGAGCGUAGGUGGAUUGUUAAGUCAGUUGUGAAAGUUUGCGGCUCAACCGUAAAAUUGCAGUUGAAACUGGCAGUCUUGAGUACAGUAGAGGUGGGCGGAAUUCGUGGUGUAGCGGUGGAAUGCUUAGGUAUCACGAAGAACUCCGAUUGCGAAGGCAGCUCACUGGACUGCAACUGACACUGAGGCUCGAAAGUGUGGGUAUCAAACAGGAUUAGAUACCCGGGUAGUC